RNAcentral lists this ribosomal RNA (421 nucleotides) under uncultured bacterium. RNAcentral describes it as "bacterial SSU rRNA". It matches the Rfam family "Bacterial small subunit ribosomal RNA", at positions 361 to 773 of the family's 1533-position model. The record is from RNAcentral.
AUCUUGCACAAUGGGGGAAACCCUGAUGCAGCAACGCCGCGUGAGUGAAGAAGGCCCUUGGGUUGUAAAGCUCUUUCGGCUGGGAAGAAGGGUUUAGGUGUUAAUACCACUUAGAUCUGACGGUACUAGAAGAAGAAGCACCGGCUAAUUCCGUGCCAGCAGUCGCGGUAAUACGGAAGGUGCAAGCGUUGUUCGGAUUGACUGGGCGUAAAGCGCACGUAGGCGGGUUUGCAAGUCGGAUGUGAAAGCCCCGGGCUUAACCUGGGAACAGCACCCGAAACUGCAGAUCUUGAAUGUCCGAGAGGUUGGUGGAAUUCCUGGUGUAGGAGUGAAAUCCGUAGAUAUCAGGAGGAAGAUCGGCGGCGAAGGCGGCCAACUGGUGGAACAUUGACGCUGAGGUGCGAAAGCGUGGGGAGCAAAC